This 253-nucleotide ribosomal RNA is filed under the name uncultured bacterium. RNAcentral describes it as "partial 16S ribosomal RNA". It matches the Rfam family "Bacterial small subunit ribosomal RNA", at positions 524 to 776 of the family's 1533-position model. The record is from RNAcentral.
UACGUAGGGUGCGAGCGUUGUCCGGAAUUAUUGGGCGUGAAGAGCUUGUAGGCGGUUUGUCGCGUCUGCUGUGAAAAUCCGGGGCUCAACCCCGGACUUGCAGUGGGUACGGGCAGGCUAGAGUGUGGUAGGGGAGACUGGAAUUCCUGGUGUAGCGGUGAAAUGCGCAGAUAUCAGGAGGAACACCGAUGGCGAAGGCAGGUCUCUGGGCCACUACUGACGCUGAGAAGCGAAAGCAUGGGGAGCGAUCAGG